Molecule: non-coding RNA, 46 nt
Filed under: Pelobates cultripes (western spadefoot toad)
Lineage: Eukaryota; Metazoa; Chordata; Amphibia; Anura; Pelobatidae
Rfam family: Histone 3' UTR stem-loop
About the family: The mRNAs of metazoan histone genes lack a poly-A tail.
Source: RNAcentral
ACAAAGGCUCUUUUAAGAGCCACCAAAACUGCACUCGAACGAGCUC